This 253-nucleotide ribosomal RNA is filed under the name uncultured bacterium. Its description in RNAcentral is "partial 16S ribosomal RNA". It matches the Rfam family "Bacterial small subunit ribosomal RNA", at positions 524 to 776 of the family's 1533-position model. The record is from RNAcentral.
UACGUAGGGUGCGAGCGUUGUCCGGAAUUAUUGGGCGUAAAGGGUUCGUAGGCGGUUUGUUGCGUCAGGAGUGAAAACUCGGGGCUUAACCCCGAGCCUGCUUCUGAUACGGGCAGACUAGAGGUAUGCAGGGGAGAACGGAAUUCCUGGUGUAGCGGUGAAAUGCGCAGAUAUCAGGAGGAACACCGGUGGCGAAGGCGGUUCUCUGGGCAUUACCUGACGCUGAGGAGCGAAAGUGUGGGGAGCGAACAGG